Molecule: ribosomal RNA, 508 nt
Filed under: uncultured bacterium
Lineage: Bacteria
Description: bacterial SSU rRNA
Rfam family: Bacterial small subunit ribosomal RNA
Source: RNAcentral
UAGUCCACGCUGUAAACGAUGAGUGCUAGAUAUCGGGAGAAUUUCUUUCGGUUUCGUAGCUAACGCAUUAAGCACUCCGCCUGGGGAGUACGAUCGCAAGAUUAAAACUCAAAGGAAUUGACGGGGGCUCGCACAAGUGGUGGAGCAUGCGAUUUAAUUCGAUGCUACGCGAAAAACCUUACCAACCCUUGACAUGGUGAUCGUAGGUUACAGAGAUGUAACCGUCAGUUAGGCUGGAUCGCACACAGGUGUUGCAUGGCUGUCGUCAGCUCGUGUCGUGAGAUGUUGGGUUAAGUCCCGCAACGAGCGCAACCCUCAUCCUUAUUUGCCAGCGGUUCGGCCGGGGACUAUAAGGAAACUGCCGGUGAUAAACCGGAGGAAGGUGGGGAUGAUGUCAAGUCAUCAUGGCCCUUAUGGGUUGGGCUACACGCGUGCUACAAUGGUACUUACAGAGGGAAGCAAGACGGCGACGUGGAGCAAAUCCCUAAAAGUAUCUCAGUUCGGAUUG